AGGGAUCAUUACCGAGUUUACAACUCCCAAACCCCUGUGAACAUACCUAUACGUUGCCUCGGCGGAUCAGCCCGCGCCCCGUAAAACGGGACGGCCCGCCCGAGGACCCCUAAACUCUGUUUUUAGUGGAACUUCUGAGUAAAACAAACAAAUAAAUCAAAACUUUCAACAACGGAUCUCUUGGUUCUGGCAUCGAUGAAGAACGCAGCAAAAUGCGAUAAGUAAUGUGAAUCGCAGAAUUCAGUGAAUCAUCGAAUCUUUGAACGCACAUUGCGCCCGCCAGUAUUCUGGCGGGCAUGCCUGUUCGAGCGUCAUUUCAACCCUCAAGCUCAGCUUGGUGUUGGGACUCGCGGUAACCCGCGUUCCCCAAAUCGAUUGGCGGUCACGUCGAGCUUCCAUAGCGUAGUAAUCAUACACCUCGUUACUGGUAAUCGUCGCGGCCACGCCGUUAAACCCCAACUUCUGAAUGUUGACCUCGGAUCAGGUAGGAAUACCCGCUGAACUUAA
RNAcentral lists this ribosomal RNA (507 nucleotides) under Fusarium sp. FQ4. RNAcentral describes it as "eukaryotic LSU rRNA". The stretch from base 161 to 314 matches the Rfam family "5.8S ribosomal RNA". The record is from RNAcentral. Lineage: Eukaryota; Fungi; Ascomycota; Sordariomycetes; Hypocreales; Nectriaceae.